Molecule: ribosomal RNA, 440 nt
Filed under: uncultured bacterium
Lineage: Bacteria
Description: partial 16S ribosomal RNA
Rfam family: Bacterial small subunit ribosomal RNA
Source: RNAcentral
CCUACGGGUGGCAGCAGUGGGGAAUAUUGCACAAUGGGGGAAACCCUGAUGCAGCGACGCCGCGUGAGUGAAGACGUAAUUCGUAAUGUAAAGCUCUAUCAGCACGGAAGAAAAUGCCGGUACCUGAGUAAGCAGCCCCGACUAACGACGUGCCAGCCGCCGCGGUAAGACGUAGGGGGCCAGCGUUAUCCGGAUUUACUGGGUGUAAAGGGGGCGUAGACGGCAGGGCAAGUCUGGAGUGAAAGGCGGGGGCUCAACCACCGGACUGCUCUUGAAACUGUACGGCUGGAGUGCAGGUGAGGUAAGGGGAAUUCCUGGUGUAGCGGUGAAAUGCGUAGAUAUUAGGAGGAACACCAGUGGCGAAGGCGGCUUACUGGACUGUAACUGACGUUGAGGCUCGAAAGCGUGGGGAGCAAACAGGAUUAGAUACCCCAGUAGUC